AUGGAGGAAGGCCCGGAUUACUGCAUCAUCACGCCGCCAGAGAAGCUGAACGUCACGGCGAUCGACACCUACGACGACCACCGGAUGGCGAUGGCCUUCUCCCUGGCGGCCUGUGCCGAGGUACCAGUCACCAUCAGGGACCCCGGGUGCACCCGCAAGACCUUCCCCAACUACUUCGAUGUGCUAGGCACCUUUGUGAAGAACUAG
RNAcentral lists this ribosomal RNA (207 nucleotides) under Triticum aestivum (bread wheat). RNAcentral describes it as "partial small subunit ribosomal RNA". The record is from RNAcentral. Lineage: Eukaryota; Viridiplantae; Streptophyta; Magnoliopsida; Poales; Poaceae.